RNAcentral lists this ribosomal RNA (255 nucleotides) under uncultured bacterium. RNAcentral describes it as "partial 16S ribosomal RNA". It matches the Rfam family "Bacterial small subunit ribosomal RNA", at positions 524 to 776 of the family's 1533-position model. The record is from RNAcentral.
UACAGAGGUCCCGAGCGUUUGUUCGGAUUCACUGGGCGUAAAGGGUGCGUAGGUGGCUGGGAAAGUUUGAUGUGAAAGCUCAGGGCUUAACCCUGAAAUGGCAUUGAAUACUGCCUGGCUGGAGGUUUGGAGGGGGGACUGGAAUUCUUGGUGUAGCAGUGAAAUGCGUAGAUAUCAGGAGGAACACCAACGGCGAAGGCAGCUCGCUGGGACGGUACUGACGCUGAGGCGCGAAAGCGUGGGGGAGCGAACAGG